This is a non-coding RNA of Arachis ipaensis, 740 nucleotides long. Lineage: Eukaryota; Viridiplantae; Streptophyta; Magnoliopsida; Fabales; Fabaceae. The record is from RefSeq and is a predicted model, not a curated record.
UAUGCUUGAUUCCAAUUUGCUCGCCUUCUUCUACUUGUGAUGUUUUGCUUGGCCCCUGGCUAGGUGCUGAUAUGCUCUGCUCCCCCGUGGUGCUCGUGCUCUUUCCAUCACAGAUAGGCUCCUUACUUUACUCAGCUUUGUUAUGGCCGAAGUUGAUGAGAAAUUCUGGUAAUGAAAAUUUUUCUUCUUUGAUGAGAAAUUACUGUUUAAUUAAUUAUGAUCCUAUUAAAUCACUGCAAUGUUUAAUUGUUAUUGUGUAUUCGCCGGCCUGUGCUUUAAUCACUAAAUGAUGUCAAUUUUAGGGCUUGGAAUUUAAUUAUUGUUGGUGGAAUCUCAAUUUAAGGAACUUAACAUUAGAUUCAUAGUUAUUGUAUGUGUUGGAGUUGGCUGAGAAAGCUUCCGGUUUAAUCAAUUUACUGCUAGGUUUUUCACAAUGCUUCCAGUUACCUUCACUUUUUCUUUUUCUCUGCUUAAUUGAACUUACUUCUUCAGGGAGGAGGAAGAGGUUGAUAGAUUCAGCAAAGUUCAAGAGAGUUUCUUGACAAGUUCUUCAACUCUCAGUAUACUUGAAUUCAUGCUGUGGUUAAUAACCUGGAAGAUGCUCAUGAGAUGCUUUACACUGCAAUCUCAACCGCACUGAAAGAAAGCAAACCUGUUUAUAUCAGCAUCAGCUGUAACUUGGCUGCAAUUCCUCACCCCACUUUCAGUAGGGAGCCAGUUCUAUUUUUGUUGUCUCCAAA